Molecule: ribosomal RNA, 227 nt
Filed under: uncultured Bacteroides sp.
Lineage: Bacteria; Pseudomonadati; Bacteroidota; Bacteroidia; Bacteroidales; Bacteroidaceae
Description: partial 16S ribosomal RNA
Rfam family: Bacterial small subunit ribosomal RNA
Source: RNAcentral
CUGAACCAGCCAAGUAGCGUGAAGGAUGACUGCCCUAUGGGUUGUAAACUUCUUUUAUAAAGGAAUGAAGUCGGGUAUGGAUACCCGUUUGCAUGUACUUUAUGAAUAAGGAUCGGCUAACUCCGUGCCAGCAGCCGCGGUAAUACGGAGGAUCCGAGCGUUAUCCGGAUUUAUUGGGUUUAAAGGGAGCGUAGAUGGAUGUUUAAGUCAGUUGUGAAAGUUUGCGG